CCGGACGCACGGGUGAGUAACACGUGAGUGACCUGCCUUUUAGACUGGAACAACUUACCGAAAGGUGAGCUAACGCCGGAUGAGUUAUAUAAGUGCAUGUUUAUAUAGGAAAAGUUGGGGAGACCUGACGCUGAAAGAUGGACUCGCGUCCCAUUAGCUAGUUGGUAGGGUAAUGGCCUACCAAGGCGACGAUGGGUAGCCGGCCUGAGAGGGUGGCCGGCCACACUGGGACUGAGACACGGCCCAGACUCCUACGGAAGGCAGCAG
Molecule: ribosomal RNA, 267 nt
Filed under: uncultured bacterium
Lineage: Bacteria
Description: partial 16S ribosomal RNA
Rfam family: Bacterial small subunit ribosomal RNA
Source: RNAcentral